RNAcentral lists this ribosomal RNA (1001 nucleotides) under Escherichia coli. Its description in RNAcentral is "partial 23S ribosomal RNA". It matches the Rfam family "Bacterial large subunit ribosomal RNA", at positions 1921 to 2916 of the family's 2925-position model. The record is from RNAcentral. Lineage: Bacteria; Pseudomonadati; Pseudomonadota; Gammaproteobacteria; Enterobacterales; Enterobacteriaceae.
CGGUAAACGGCGGCCGUAACUAUAACGGUCCUAAGGUAGCGAAAUUCCUUGUCGGGUAAGUUCCGACCUGCACGAAUGGCGUAAUGAUGGCCAGGCUGUCUCCACCCGAGACUCAGUGAAAUUGAACUCGCUGUGAAGAUGCAGUGUACCCGCGGCAAGACGGAAAGACCCCGUGAACCUUUACUAUAGCUUGACACUGAACAUUGAGCCUUGAUGUGUAGGAUAGGUGGGAGGCUUUGAAGUGUGGACGCCAGUCUGCAUGGAGCCGACCUUGAAAUACCACCCUUUAAUGUUUGAUGUUCUAACGUUGACCCGUAAUCCGGGUUGCGGACAGUGUCUGGUGGGUAGUUUGACUGGGGCGGUCUCCUCCUAAAGAGUAACGGAGGAGCACGAAGGUUGGCUAAUCCUGGUCGGACAUCAGGAGGUUAGUGCAAUGGCAUAAGCCAGCUUGACUGCGAGCGUGACGGCGCGAGCAGGUGCGAAAGCAGGUCAUAGUGAUCCGGUGGUUCUGAAUGGAAGGGCCAUCGCUCAACGGAUAAAAGGUACUCCGGGGAUAACAGGCUGAUACCGCCCAAGAGUUCAUAUCGACGGCGGUGUUUGGCACCUCGAUGUCGGCUCAUCACAUCCUGGGGCUGAAGUAGGUCCCAAGGGUAUGGCUGUUCGCCAUUUAAAGUGGUACGCGAGCUGGGUUUAGAACGUCGUGAGACAGUUCGGUCCCUAUCUGCCGUGGGCGCUGGAGAACUGAGGGGGGCUGCUCCUAGUACGAGAGGACCGGAGUGGACGCAUCACUGGUGUUCGGGUUGUCAUGCCAAUGGCACUGCCCGGUAGCUAAAUGCGGAAGAGAUAAGUGCUGAAAGCAUCUAAGCACGAAACUUGCCCCGAGAUGAGUUCUCCCUGACUCCUUGAGAGUCCUGAAGGAACGUUGAAGACGACGACGUUGAUAGGCCGGGUGUGUAAGCGCAGCGAUGCGUUGAGCUAACCGGUACUAAUGAACCGUGAGG